UGCCUUUGCAGAUAGCCGUUCCUUAAGAUAUCAAUUCCUUGCUACCCUUAACUACGCCCUACUCCUUGUCCAUUCAUCUUCAAUCUAGCGAUUCUCUCCAUCUUCCCUCUGAGUCUGCAACUCUCUGAAUUGUCGUCUUCCCUCCCAGGUAUGAGCCCUCCCUUCUCUCCAACGCUUCUUUUGCUAGAUUAUGGGCUUGAAUGUUCUUCGUUCUAUGGAUAAACUUGAAAGUAAAGUCUUGAACCCUGGAUUUUCUGGUCUGUAUGUCAUAAAUAAUCGCCCCAAGAACCGACUUAUCCAUUUCUUUUGAUUGACAUUUUUGAAUGACUGUUCUCGAGUCCCCCUCUAUUGUUACUGUUGUUAACCCCAUUUCUAUUACUAACUUAAUGGUAUCUAAUCCUGCGAGGGCUUCUGCUGCAAACGGGGUGGGGGUAUCCUCAUGUGUAACUGACUUUGAGGCUUUUAAAGCUCCCGUCUGGUCUCAAACUACUAUACCUGAGGCAGAUCUAGCAUUUCUUUUGUCAAAAGCGGCAUCAAACUGAACUGUGGUACCCUCCGUCGCCCCAGUAUAACUGUUGUCCCUUUUGGAAGAAAACCUAAUUUCGAGAACUCCAAACGCACCAUAGCACACAACAAAAGGAUCGACAUUGCUCCAUUGUACUCCUUUCAAAAACCCAGAUAAGCCACUCCUAGAAACUUUGAUUAUCAUGAUCAAUGGUCCAAAAGAGAUUAAUGAGAUUCCAUAUUUAACUGAUUGCAGGACAAAAUCUAAAGAUAUGGUUACUGUCUUUGUAAUACCCUGAAAAUUUUUACAAUAAGAUAUUAUCCUUGAUAUAGUAAAAUAACGAAAUAAAGUGACAUAAAGGGAAA
This is a long non-coding RNA of Gossypium arboreum, 870 nucleotides long. RefSeq lists it as uncharacterized. Lineage: Eukaryota; Viridiplantae; Streptophyta; Magnoliopsida; Malvales; Malvaceae. The transcript is spliced from 2 exons. The record is from RefSeq and is a predicted model, not a curated record.